RNAcentral lists this long non-coding RNA (812 nucleotides) under Setaria viridis. Its description in RNAcentral is "long non-coding RNA (SVIR_LNC011465)". Lineage: Eukaryota; Viridiplantae; Streptophyta; Magnoliopsida; Poales; Poaceae. The record is from RNAcentral.
AUCAUGCAGAGUACUCUGACAUAUAAAUUAUGACCAGCAUUAAAAAGAAAUCAACUUUCCAGGGAGCUUGAGUAAUAAUAGAGCAUGUAAAUUUGCAGCACAUCACUGAAGGUAUAACUCACACUGAAUAAGCCAAAAUACAGUGCUACAAACAAACUACUAACCAAACACGUUAGUAAAAAAGAAGUAAAUCACAUAGAGUAGGCUCUCAGCCGCACCCCUGCCCCCUUUCUCCCACAAGCACGCACACAAACAACAUUAUGACAAUUUCACACAAAAUAAAAAAACUAAACAGUUAGUGAACUCAGUCAUACAAGUGAAACAAAAUUACUAUGUUGCACCAACAACAGAGAAGCAACAAAAAUAGAAUAUAAUUGAAACAAAACCAAUUGCUCGUAACUCAGUCACCAGUUGUUCAAGGAAGAUGAGAACAACAAAUUCAAACAAUCAUCCAUAGAGUCGGAACAUAAAGAUCACUAAGGGACAAUCCUCACCUUUCAUAUCCAGCUCGAUCCACUUGUCCCAUCUCAUCACUGUCUCAUUGAACUCCCUGCGUUUCACUAUAAUACAUGACAAAAAACAAUAGACUAGGCACACAGUUAAUGCAAAGGUGAUUAGAUAACAUAUAGGCAAAGCCUUGCACAUAAGGUCAUCUACAUUUAAGCUAUGAAAAAACGUAUGCAGUUCAUCGUUUACACAGGAAAAAACAUCCAAACAUAAUGGCCAUCACAUAUAUACCAAUAAUAAUCUAGUUCAUAUACAUCCGAUGGUGCAGUAGCAAAAUAAGAUACAAAUGCAGUUCUCUUGUAUGU